CCCGAACAGGGACUAGGCUAGUUCAGUAGCUUAAUAGUUUUUUGGUAUUGUCACUUUUCCAAUUUUACUGUACGUAAUCACCUCUAAAGUAAACAAUGGCUGAGAAUAUGAUUAGUGUUCCUGUUGAGCAGUGGGAUGCUACAAUGAAUCUGAUUUCUAACUUACCAGAUCAAGUAAUUAGUCUUCAAGAACAAGUUACCAGAUUAAGUUCUUCGGGGAUCUCACCAGCCACCCGAAUUCGUCAGUCAUCCACACAGGAACAAUGUAAUCCUGAAGUUCCUGUCUUCCCACCUAGGCCGGAAGUGUCAUCACUCUCUCGACCAAUUGUU
RNAcentral lists this long non-coding RNA (329 nucleotides) under Androctonus crassicauda. The record is from RNAcentral. Lineage: Eukaryota; Metazoa; Arthropoda; Arachnida; Scorpiones; Buthidae.